CGCUAGCUACAGGCUUAACACAUGCAAGUCGAGGGGUAGCAUGGUCUUAGCUUGCUAAGGCCGAUGGCGACCGGCGCACGGGUGAGUAACGCGUAUCCAACCUGCCUUACACUCUUGGACAGCCUUCUGAAAGGGAGAUUAAUACAAGAUGUUAUCAUGAGUAAGCAUUUUCGCAUGAUUAAAGGUUUACCGGUGUAAGAUGGGGAUGCGUUCCAUUAGAUAGUAGGCGGGGUAACGGCCCACCUAGUCUUCGAUGGAUAGGGGUUCUGAGAGGAAGGUCCCCCACAUUGGAACUGAGACACGGUCCAAACUCCUACGGGAGGCAGCAGUGAGGAAUAUUGGUCAAUGGACGAGAGUCUGAACCAGCCAAGUAGCGUGAAGGAUGAAGGUUCUAUGGAUUGUAAACUUCUUUUAUACGGGAAUAAACGGAUCCACGUGUGGAUUUUUGCAUGUACCGUAUGAAUAAGGAUCGGCUAACUCCGUGCCAGCAGCCGCGGUAAUACGGAGGAUCCGAGCGUUAUCCGGAUUUAUUGGGUUUAAAGGGAGCGUAGAUGGGUUGUUAAGUCAGUUGUGAAAGUUUGCGGCUCAACCGUAAAAUUGCAAUUGAUACUGGCAGUCUUGAGUACAGUUGAGGUAGGCGGAAUUCGUGGUGUAGCGGUGAAAUGCUUAGAUAUCACGAAGAACUCCGAUUGCGAAGGCAGCUUACUAACCUGUAACUGACAUUGAUGCUCGAAAGUGUGGGUAUCAAACAGGAUUAGAUACCCUGGUAGUCCACACGGUAAACGAUGAAUACUCGCUGUAGGCGAUAUACAGUCUGCGGCCAAGCGAAAGCAUUAAGUAUUCCACCUGGGGAGUACGCCGGCAACGGUGAAACUCAAAGGAAUUGACGGGGGCCCGCACAAGCGGAGGAACAUGUGGUUUAAUUCGAUGAUACGCGAGGAACCUUACCCGGGCUUAAAUUGCAACCGAAUAUGGCGGAAACGCUAUAGCUAGCAAUAGCGGUUGUGAAGGUGCUGCAUGGUUGUCGUCAGCUCGUGCCGUGAGGUGUCGGCUUAAGUGCCAUAACGAGCGCAACCCUUGCCGAUAGUUACUAACAGGUUAUGCUGAGGACUCUGUCGGGACUGCCAUCGUAAGAUGUGAGGAAGGUGGGGAUGACGUCAAAUCAGCACGGCCCUUACGUCCGGGGCUACACACGUGUUACAAUGGGGGGUACAGAGGGCUGCUACCACGCAAGUGGAUGCCAAUCCCAAAAACCUCUCUCAGUUCGGAUUGAAGUCUGCAACCCGACUUCAUGAAGCUGGAUUCGCUAGUAAUCGCGCAUCAGCCACGGCGCGGUGAAUACGUUCCCGGGCCUUGUACACACCGCCCGUCAAGCCAUGGGAGCCGGGGGUACCUGAAGUGCGUAACCGCAAGGAGCGCCCUAGGGUAAAACUGG
RNAcentral lists this ribosomal RNA (1435 nucleotides) under uncultured organism. RNAcentral's name for it is "16S ribosomal RNA". It matches the Rfam family "Bacterial small subunit ribosomal RNA". The record is from RNAcentral.